Rhinopithecus roxellana (golden snub-nosed monkey) is the source of this 528-nucleotide long non-coding RNA. RefSeq lists it as uncharacterized. The transcript is spliced from 3 exons. The record is from RefSeq and is a predicted model, not a curated record. NCBI's taxonomy places the organism in Eukaryota, Metazoa, Chordata, Mammalia, Primates, Cercopithecidae.
AUAUUGAAUUUUACCUGAUUCCUUCCGUGUUGUAUUUUUUCAAAAUGCAAUGAAAGCGUUUUAUCAAGAGGAAGUGGUUCACAGAAUAACACAGCAUAUGGUUAAAGGUUCUUGCAAUGUUUGGGGGAGGAGGAAGGGGAAGCCGAGGCUCCUGUGUAGCAUAAAACAGGAAACAGAAGCAUCUCUAAAGUUACAAAUCAUAUCAAAUAAUUCACUCAGCAGAGAACUAAGAUGAAGAAACCUCUCGGGCCGACUUAACCGACUUUGCGCUGUACCGCUGAGAAUCUACCCCAACUGGACUUUUGCUUGCAAUAUGUCACCAAACUGUGUGUCAAGAUUACCAACAACCUGUGGGGUGCAGUGGCUCAUGCCUGUGAUCCCAGCACUUUGGGAGGUCAAGAGGCCAAUGUACUUUGAAGCCAAUAAAGAAGCUUACAUUUCAGGGCUUCUCACUUGCAGGACCCUUCUGAUGCCGCAUGUCUCCUCUGGCACCCCAGCAGCAGCACACAACACUGUUCUCUUGCUGGC